RNAcentral lists this ribosomal RNA (465 nucleotides) under uncultured Klebsiella sp. RNAcentral's name for it is "bacterial SSU rRNA". It matches the Rfam family "Bacterial small subunit ribosomal RNA", at positions 338 to 795 of the family's 1533-position model. Lineage: Bacteria; Pseudomonadati; Pseudomonadota; Gammaproteobacteria; Enterobacterales; Enterobacteriaceae. The record is from RNAcentral.
CCUACGGGUGGCAGCAGUGGGGAAUAUUGCACAAUGGGCGCAAGCCUGAUGCAGCCAUGCCGCGUGUGUGAAGAAGGCCUUCGGGUUGUAAAGCACUUUCAGCGGGGAGGAAGGCGGUGAGGUUAAUAACCUCAUCGAUUGACGUUACCCGCAGAAGAAGCACCGGCUAACUCCGUGCCAGCAGCCGCGGUAAUACGGAGGGUGCAAGCGUUAAUCGGAAUUACUGGGCGUAAAGCGCACGCAGGCGGUCUGUCAAGUCGGAGGUGAAAUCCCCGGGCUCAACCUGGGAACUGCAUUCGAAACUGGCAGGCUAGAGUCUUGUAAAGGGGGGUAGAAUUCCAGGUGUAGCGGUGAAAUGCGUAGAGAUCUGGAGGAAUACCGGUGGCGAAGGCGGCCCCCUGGACAAAGACUGACGCUCAGGUGCGAAAGCGUGGGGAGCAAACAGGAUUAGAUACCCGAGUAGUC